CUGCAUUUUCUUUAAGAUCUUGUCAAGGAAUUAUACCUUGUAGUGUCUCCCAACAAUAUCAUUUGCAUAAUCUUGACUACUAAAUACUCAUUUUUAUUAUCAUUUGUAAAAAAAAAGACAACUAUGUACAAGUUAAUUUAAUUACAGUCAAUCAUAAAUAUAUAACAUCAACAACCGUACACAUAAUUAAAACAGGAUAAAACAAGAAUGUGUCCCCAGUACAUGGAUGUCUCAUCUGCACUAUCAAUUUCUUUGUUCAGUGGACCAUGAAAAUGGGGGAAAAUUUCUAAUUUGGCAUUAAAAUUAUAAAUAUCAUAGGGAACAUGUGUACUAAGUUUCAAGUUGAUUGAACUUCAACUUCAUCAAAAACUACCUUGACCAAAACCUUUAACCUGAAGCAGGACAGAUGGACAAACGAACAGAUGAACGAGCAGACGGACGCACAGACCAGAAAACAUAAUGCCCAUAAAUGGGGCAUGAAAAAAGUGUCCUUAUGUCCCCACUGUUGGUAAAUAUGUUUCUGAUAUACAAGGAAAUCUAUUAAUCAAAGAAUUUCAUAAUUCAUAAUGUAACCAUUUCUUUUUAUGCCCCACCUACGAUAGUAGAGGGGCAUUAUGUUUUCUGGUCUGUGCGUCCGUUCGUUCGUCCGUCCGUCCGUCCGUCCGUCCGUCCGCGUCGUCCGCUCAGGUUAAAGUUUUUGGUCAAGGUAGUUU
This 713-nucleotide long non-coding RNA is filed under the name Mytilus galloprovincialis (Mediterranean mussel). The record is from RNAcentral. Lineage: Eukaryota; Metazoa; Mollusca; Bivalvia; Mytilida; Mytilidae.